AUGGCUCAGAUUGAACGCUGGCGGCAGGCCUAACACAUGCAAGUCGAGCGGAAACGAUGGAAGCUUGCUUCCAGGCGUCGAGCGGCGGACGGGUGAGUAAUGCAUAGGAAUCUGCCCGGUAGUGGGGGAUAACCUGGGGAAACUCAGGCUAAUACCGCAUACGUCCUACGGGAGAAAGCAGGGGACCUUCGGGCCUUGCGCUAUCGGAUGAGCCUAUGUCGGAUUAGCUGGUUGGUGAGGUAACGGCUCACCAAGGCGACGAUCCGUAGCUGGUCUGAGAGGAUGAUCAGCCACAUCGGGACUGAGACACGGCCCGAACUCCUACGGGAGGCAGCAGUGGGGAAUAUUGGACAAUGGGGGCAACCCUGAUCCAGCCAUGCCGCGUGUGUGAAGAAGGCUUUCGGGUUGUAAAGCACUUUCAGUGGGGAAGAAGGCUUUGCGGUUAAUACCCUCUAAGAAGGACAUCACCCACAGAAGAAGCACCGGCUAACUCCGUGCCAGCAGCCGCGGUAAUACGGAGGGUGCGAGCGUUAAUCGGAAUGACUGGGCGUAAAGCGCGCGUAGGCGGCUUGGUAAGCCGGUUGUGAAAGCCCCGGGCUCAACCUGGGAAUGGCAUCCGGAACUGUCAGGCUAGAGUGCAGGAGAGGAAGGUAGAAUUCCCGGUGUAGCGGUGAAAUGCGUAGAGAUCGGGAGGAAUACCAGUGGCGAAGGCGGCUUCUGGACUGACACUGACGCUGAGGUGCGAAAGCGUGGGUAGCAAACAGGAUUAGAUACCCUGGUAGUCCACGCCGUAAACGAUGUCGACUAGCCGUUGGGGUCCUCGAGACCUUUGUGGCGCAGUUAACGCGAUAAGUCGACCGCCUGGGGAGUACGGCCGCAAGGUUAAAACUCAAUGAAUUGACGG
This 904-nucleotide ribosomal RNA is filed under the name Billgrantia gudaonensis. RNAcentral's name for it is "bacterial SSU rRNA". It matches the Rfam family "Bacterial small subunit ribosomal RNA", at positions 19 to 916 of the family's 1533-position model. Lineage: Bacteria; Pseudomonadati; Pseudomonadota; Gammaproteobacteria; Oceanospirillales; Halomonadaceae. The record is from RNAcentral.